AACAACCCAACUAUUUUGCAGUC
This 23-nucleotide microRNA is filed under the name Brugia malayi. RNAcentral's name for it is "bma-miR-5847". Lineage: Eukaryota; Metazoa; Nematoda; Chromadorea; Rhabditida; Onchocercidae. RNAcentral also lists the same sequence under 1 other name. The record is from miRBase by way of RNAcentral.